AUACGUAGGGGACGAGCGUUGUCCGGAAUUACUGGGCGUAAAGGGCGCGCAGGCGGAUAUUUAAGUCAGCUGUAAAAGGCAUGAGCUCAACUCAUGUAUGCGGUUGAAACUGGGUAUCUAGAGUGCUGGAGAGGUAGGCGGAAUUCCCGGUGUAGCGGUGAAAUGCGUAGAUAUCGGGAAGAACACCAGUGGCGAAGGCGGCUUACUGGCCAGCAACUGACGCUGAGGCGCGAAAGCCAGGGGAGCGAACGGGAUUAGAUACCCCGGUAGGCCUGGCCGUAAACGAUGAAUGCUAGGUGUGGGUGUCGAGAGGCAUCCGUGCCGGAGGUAACGCGAUAAGCAUUCCGCCUGGGGAGUACGAUCGCAAGAUUGAAACUCAAAUGAAUUGACGGGG
RNAcentral lists this ribosomal RNA (394 nucleotides) under uncultured bacterium. Its description in RNAcentral is "partial 16S ribosomal RNA". It matches the Rfam family "Bacterial small subunit ribosomal RNA", at positions 523 to 918 of the family's 1533-position model. The record is from RNAcentral.